RNAcentral lists this ribosomal RNA (253 nucleotides) under uncultured bacterium. RNAcentral describes it as "partial 16S ribosomal RNA". It matches the Rfam family "Bacterial small subunit ribosomal RNA", at positions 524 to 776 of the family's 1533-position model. The record is from RNAcentral.
UACGAAGGGGGCUAGCGUUGCUCGGAAUCACUGGGCGUAAAGGGUGCGUAGGCGGGUCUUUAAGUCAGGGGUGAAAUCCUGGAGCUCAACUCCAGAACUGCCUUUGAUACUGAAGAUCUUGAGUCCGGGAGAGGUGAGUGGAACUGCGAGUGUAGAGGUGAAAUUCGUAGAUAUUCGCAAGAACACCAGUGGCGAAGGCGGCGAUCUGGGAAGAUACUGACGCUGAGGUGCGAAAGCGUGGGGAGCAAACAGG